Long non-coding RNA from Xyrauchen texanus (razorback sucker), 311 nucleotides. RefSeq lists it as uncharacterized. The record is from RefSeq and is a predicted model, not a curated record. NCBI's taxonomy places the organism in Eukaryota, Metazoa, Chordata, Actinopteri, Cypriniformes, Catostomidae. The transcript is spliced from 3 exons.
UGGAGAUUUGCCUGAUCUAUCCGUCCUUCAGAUGACAGCGGCUCGCUUCAAGAGCAGGUGAAGCAAGUUGGGACAAUGUUGAAGACAUUUGCUCGCACUGGGCAAUCAGGUGCAGAUCAAACCCUAAUGCUGCGACGUCUUGGAAUUUGGCGAUGUUGUGCGUAGCAUGGACGACAAAAUGCUAUGCUGCAACGUUUCAGUGCCAAUGUGUCUGUUGGAGAGUUAUCCCUGCCAGGGGAUCUGUUACUCCCCCCUAGACACCCAGGAAGAUUUGCCGUUGCUUGACAACAGUUUGAGGCAGGAUAAAGAGC